CCCUUUAUAGUUAGUGGUAAAAUCUGCCGUUGCCAUUCAGGAAUCGGCAGGCCCCGGGUUCGAUUCCCGGCGGACGCA
Molecule: non-coding RNA, 78 nt
Organism: Stipitochalara longipes BDJ
Lineage: Eukaryota; Fungi; Ascomycota; Leotiomycetes; Helotiales; Hamatocanthoscyphaceae
Source: the annotation of a GenBank genome assembly